UUGUCGGCCAGCUCGUGUCGUGAGAUGUUGGGGUUAAGUCCCGCAACGAGCGCANCCCACGUCCUUAGUUGCCAUCAUUCAGUUGGGCACUCUAGGGAGACUGCCGGUGAUAGCCGCGAGAAGGUGUGGAUGACGUCAAGUCCUCAUGGCCCUUACGGGAUGGGCUACACACGUGCUACAAUGGCGGUGACAGUGGGACGCGAAGGAGCGAUCUGGAGCAAAUCCCCAAAAGCCGUCUCAGUUCGGAUUGCACUCUGCAACUCGAGUGCAUGAAGGCGGAAUCGCUAGUAAUCGUGGAUCAGCAUGCCACGGUGAAUACGUUCCCGGGCCUUGUACACACCGCCCGUCACACCAUGGGAGUGGUCUUACCCGACGGCGCUGCGCAACCGCAAGAGGCAGGCGACCACGGUAGG
RNAcentral lists this ribosomal RNA (413 nucleotides) under Methylobacterium sp. DJM4A11. RNAcentral describes it as "bacterial SSU rRNA". It matches the Rfam family "Bacterial small subunit ribosomal RNA", at positions 1049 to 1466 of the family's 1533-position model. Lineage: Bacteria; Pseudomonadati; Pseudomonadota; Alphaproteobacteria; Hyphomicrobiales; Methylobacteriaceae. RNAcentral also lists the same sequence under 1 other name. The record is from RNAcentral.